UACGUAGGGUGCGAGCGUUGUCCGGAAUUACUGGGCGUAAAGAGCUCGUAGGUGGUUUGUCGCGUUGUUCGUGAAAACCGGGGGCUUAACCCUCGGCGUGCGGGCGAUACGGGCAGACUUGAGUACUGCAGGGGAGACUGGAAUUCCUGGUGUAGCGGUGGAAUGCGCAGAUAUCAGGAGGAACACCGAUGGCGAAGGCAGAUCUCUGGGCCGUAACUGACGCUGAGGAGCGAAAGCGUGGGGAGCGAACAGG
Molecule: ribosomal RNA, 253 nt
Filed under: uncultured bacterium
Lineage: Bacteria
Description: partial 16S ribosomal RNA
Rfam family: Bacterial small subunit ribosomal RNA
Source: RNAcentral